AUUGAACGCUGGCGGCAGGCCUAACACAUGCAAGUCGAGCGGAUGAAGGGAACUUGCUCCUGGAUUCAGCGGCGGACGGGUGAGUAAUGCCUAGGAAUCUGCCUGGUAGUGGGGGAUAACGUCCGGAAACGGGCGCUAAUACCGCAUACGUCCUGAGGGAGAAAGUGGGGGAUCUUCGGACCUCACGCUAUCAGAUGAGCCUAGGUCGGAUUAGCUAGUUGGUGGGGUAAAGGCCUACCAAGGCGACGAUCCGUAACUGGUCUGAGAGGAUGAUCAGUCACACUGGAACUGAGACACGGUCCAGACUCCUACGGGAGGCAGCAGUGGGGAAUAUUGGACAAUGGGCGAAAGCCUGAUCCAGCCAUGCCGCGUGUGUGAAGAAGGUCUUCGGAUUGUAAAGCACUUUAAGUUGGGAGGAAGGGCAGUAAGUUAAUACCUUGCUGUUUUGACGUUACCAACAGAAUAAGCACCGGCUAACUUCGUG
RNAcentral lists this ribosomal RNA (484 nucleotides) under uncultured bacterium. Its description in RNAcentral is "partial 16S ribosomal RNA". It matches the Rfam family "Bacterial small subunit ribosomal RNA", at positions 30 to 507 of the family's 1533-position model. The record is from RNAcentral.